Molecule: ribosomal RNA, 863 nt
Filed under: uncultured haloarchaeon
Lineage: Archaea; Methanobacteriati; Methanobacteriota; Halobacteria; Halobacteriales; Halobacteriaceae
Description: bacterial SSU rRNA
Rfam family: Archaeal small subunit ribosomal RNA
Source: RNAcentral
UUCCGGUUGASUCCGCCGGAGGUCAUUGCUAUCGGAGUCCGAUUUAGCCAUCUAGUCGCACGGGUUUAGCCCCGUGGCGAAUAGCUCCGUGACACGUGGCCAAUCUACCCAACGGACCGGUAUAACCUCGGGAAACUGAGGCUAAUCCCGGAUACUACUCUCGCGCUGGAACGCGGAGAGUUUGAAAWGUUCCGACGCCGUUGGAUGAGGCUGCGGCCGAUUAGGUAGACGGUGGGGUAAMGGCCCACCGUGCCGAUAAUCGGUACGGGUUGUGAGAGCAAGAACCCGGAGACGGAAUCUGAGACAAGAUUCCGGGCCCUACGGSGGCAGCAGGSCGAAAACCUUUACACUGCACGACAGUGCRAUAGGGGGACUCCGAGUGCGGAGGVAUAGUSCCUUCGCUUUUGUACACCGUAAGGUGKUGCACGAAUAAGAGCUGGGCAAGACCGGUGCCAGCCGCCGCGGUAAUACCGGCAGCUCGAGUGAUGACCGAUUUUAUUGGGCCUAAAGCGUCCGUAGCCGGCCGGGCAAGUUCGUCGGGAAAUCUACCAGCUCAACUGGUAGGCGUCCGGCGAAAACUGCUCGGCUUGGGACAGGGAGACUCAAGAAGUACGUCCGGGGUAGGAGUGAAAUCCCGUAAUCCUGGACGGACUACCGAUGGCGAASSAUCUUGAGAGAACUGCUCCGACGGUCAGGGACGAAAGCUGGGGUCUCGAACCGGAUUAGAUACCCGGGUAGUCCCAGCUGUAAACRAUGCUCGUUAGGUGCGACGCAGACUACGCGUCUGUGCUGUGCCGUAGGGAAGCCGAGAAACGAGCCGCCUGGGAAGUACGUCCGCAAGGAUGAAACUUAAAGGAAUUGGC